CAUUAGUCAGGUGUGAGGUGAUGGAUAUGUUGACUGACUUGGCUGUGGUGAAUAUUUCACAAUGUAUACAGAUAUCGAGGUUAUCAGGUUGUAUACCUUAAAUAUAUACAAUUUCAGUCAUCAAUUAUACCUCACUAGACCUGGAAAAAAGAAACCUUUAUUUUGAAUUUCUACAUAGAUGUUUGGUGUGUUUUAAAUUCUACUAAAGUUUUUCAAAGUUAUUUUAUAACUUUAAAAAUAUUUUUGCAAAAAAUUCAAGUUUCAAUUACUUUAUCUUAAGGACUGUAUACUCUGUUACCUGGAAUAAACAGGGAAAGCAAUAUUGUAAUUUAUCAGCUGUUUUAGGUAAUGCACUAUUACUACAAAGUUGAGGAAGACAUGAUUUCUGACCUUUGGGAAGAACUCCCAAUUUAGGAAGGAAGGCAUGUUCAGCAAACAUCCCAGCUGAUGAACAUCUCAGUCAUAUGUUUUUUAGAGAACACUUAUGGUUCUGCAAAGAUAACACUACAAUGAGCUUUCCCAUUCUGAAGCAAAGAUGUUUGAAGAGAGGACGGGGUCUGUUAUUCAAGAUAAUAAUUUGUUUUAAUCAUAAAACAUUCCAAAGAUGUCCAGCACUGCAGCUCAGAAAAAAUAUUCCACCCAGCACAGCAGGCCAUGCAUGAAGCGGGUGUCAGCAAGCCCAGCAGAAUCAGUCACUGUGAAGACGUCUAAUAGGAACUGCUGAAUACACAAUACAAGGCAGCAUGGCCUGAAUGGCUAAAGUGGAAUGGCCAGAAUGGAGUCCGAAAACUCAUCCGAAAUUGUAAUUAAA
Molecule: long non-coding RNA, 811 nt
Organism: Felis catus (domestic cat)
Lineage: Eukaryota; Metazoa; Chordata; Mammalia; Carnivora; Felidae
Exons: 3
Source: RefSeq, a predicted model, not a curated record